This 468-nucleotide ribosomal RNA is filed under the name uncultured bacterium. Its description in RNAcentral is "partial 16S ribosomal RNA". It matches the Rfam family "Bacterial small subunit ribosomal RNA", at positions 28 to 507 of the family's 1533-position model. The record is from RNAcentral.
GACGAACGCUGGCGGCGUGCUUAACACAUGCAAGUCGAACGGAAAGGCCCUGCUUUUGUGGGGUGCUCGUGUGGCGAACGGGUGAGUAACACGUGAGUAACCCGUCCUUGACUGUGGGAUAACUUCAGGAAACUGGGGCUAAUACCGGAUAGGAUCUCCUGCUGCAUGGUGGGGGUUGGAAAGUUUCGGCUGUUGGGGAUGGACUCGGGGCUUAUCGGCUUGUUGGGGGGGUAGUGGAUUACCAAGGCUUUGACGGGUAGCCGGCCUGAGAGGGUAGCCGGCUACAUUGGGACUGGGAUACGGACCAGACCCCAAUGGGAGGCAACGGUGGAGAGUCUUACACAGGAGGCGGGGGCCUGAUGCAGAAACGCCGCGUGCGGGAAGCCGGGCUUCGGGUUGUGAACCACUGUCGCCUGUGACGAGCCGUGCGUGACGGUACUGGGUAAAGAAGCACCGGCUAACUACGUG